AUUAUUUAAAACUAUAAUAAAUAUGAGUAUGUGAGAAAGUAUAGAUGAUUGGAAGAAUAAUUUAUUUUAUUUAUUAGAAUAAAAUAUUGAUAAAAAAUGAUUUAGAGGAUGAACAAUGAUUCCAUAUAUAUGGGGAAUCACUGUUCAUCCUUUAAACAUUUUUCCUAUACAGUUUAUGGAAUUACUUGAAUUAGGGCCUUGCUUAAUGACCUUCAUCAACACGCAUCAUUCUUAGCCAGCACUCAAUUUUUGUGACAACCAAGCUACUCUCUACAUAGCAGCUAACCCAGAUCAUGAAUGCACUAAACACAUUGAGUUAGAUUGUUAUUCAGUGAGUGAAAAGCUAGAAGAAGAAUCCUUGACAACUUUACAUGUUUCUUCGGUUCAUCAAGUUGCCAAUUUAAUGACCAAGCCAUUAGGUUCUAAACUUUUUUAGUCCUUAUUAUCCAAGAUAAAUGUGCAUAAUAUAUAUACAUCAUCUUGAGGAGGACUGUUACAAAAUUAAUAUGUACAUAUGUAAUUUCUCAAUGGCUAUAGUUUUUGUACAGAUACAUACACUGAGUCAGUUUUUUUCUCUCCCUGUUUUUACAUUUAUAUAAACAUAGAUAGUCCUUGUAAAUGAUUCAUCAAAAGUAAGAACUGUUCUUUCCUUACUUCUGUUACAAUUAAUGUGAUUUAAUUGUUGAUGAAACUUUGUGCUGGCCCAGAAGAUCUCUCGGUUUGUUUUGGUUUGUAACUUUGUAUUUGCUUGGUCUUCUGUGUCAUUGCCCCGCAAGUUGUGAGUUGAUGAUCUAGAAGGUUUAGUUUGGGUUGUGAUCGGAAAAUGUCAGCUAGCUACAUGGAAAGUAUGAAAUAAAUGACUACCGAGUGCCACACUUUCUCUUACAUAGUAUUCUCUAUAUAUCUCAAUGUUGGGUACUUUGUACGGGAGUAUUGGAUAAAUUGUAGGUCAAGCAAAACACUUGUUUUGAUGGGAACUUUUUGGAGUGAUCUCAUAGAAGGGAGGAAUAUUAAACCAUGUUAAUUCCCCUUAGUAUAUAUGCAUGGGUCAUGGUGCGAUCGAUGUUUUGGUUUGGUGCUAGAUUGUGAUUAAUUACUCUAUUUUCCAACACCAAAUCGAUAGUAGAGCAUUGCAUCUUGAGGCAACCUCUGCGAUUGGUAGCAAAGAUAGUCGAUCGACAGUUCUAGUGAUGAUUUUGGACGUUGUAUCCUAAAUGUAGCAGAGAAUGUGCUUGCCCAUCUAAUAGUAUUGAGCCUCUUUUGGAUUGUGCAGACAAAGUUGAUACUGAAUGCUUAGCCUAGCUUGGUAAGGGUGAGGUAUUGUUGAUCAGAGCCUACAAUAUUACUCCGAUAGUGUAAGGGAUAAGAGUAUAAAGUAUCUAUCGUAGAAUUUUUGGUUUUCGGUGACAAUACUUCAUCUUACCAUAAUCAAGAAUAUUAAUUUGUCUGCGUGUAAGCAUUAAACCAUUACUAGUAGGCCUGCAACCCGUCCAACCUACAUUGCUUUUGGACCAAACCUAUUCGCUUACCAAGGCCAAAACCCGACCCACUCUAAAAUGACAGCAAAUUUGAACAGAAUCAUCAUCUUAUUUUCCCAAUUCUCACAAAACUUUAAUUAGGACCUCAAACUCAGAAUCUACAAAUUCCCCAGAAGGAAAACAAAAAACUAAAUUUCUCAAAUACCCAGAUUCUGGGAUUCGCAGUGAUAAUGUACCGCUUCCCAAAAGAGUUGACUCUCCAAGUCUCCAGGUGCACGUACUUGGCAUAGAACUUGGGCAGGACAGACCUAGAAACAAGCUCAAUGUCCCUGACUUUCAACCCCGCGAAGGAAAUGAAGAUAAAGGUUUGGAUUGCCAUGAACUCUGAAAUGAACAAGUAGGUAAAAUACACGAACGGAACUGAUACUAAAAGCAGUAGCGCCCUGAGAAGGCUAUUGGCUUCAAGAGCAACAAGCAAGAAGUGAGGGAAAGCACUUCAUGACACGAGAAGUGUGCCGUCUAGGUCCAAAGCCACCGUCUGGUUCGAACGUCCCUCGAUGCUACAUUUUGAGAUCAGUCCAAAAUGAUUACAGUGAGCCUUCAUUGCUAUAUAAGAGAGAGAGAGAGAGAGAGAGAGAGAGAGAGAGAGAGAGAGAGAGAGAGAGGUUUCGUUAACAAACGAAGGGGAGCGUUACUAGCUAGCAAAAUAAUUUAACAUAAUUAAUAUACAUAUAGAAAUAUUAUUGGGAGCAGUCCCUGUUUGGGAGCAACCGGCGCACACCUUACGUGGAUCUGGUAAAAGACCAAAUUGUCCCUUCAGCUUUCCCCGUUCCCUCCCUCUAUGUUUCCAUUUGAUUUUUGAGAAAGAAACAGGUCUUUGUAUUCGCUCCUCUCUCCUGAGUCUCCCCCGAACCUGUGUCGGUUCCAUCCCCCCACCAGGUAGCUCAGGCCACUCUCCCCUUCGUAUGAGCAGAUCGUCUCCCACAAACUCCCCCUCGUGUUGCUCAUCCUCAUCCUUUCGUAUUCUCCGAUCUCAGCCCUCGAAGCGAAGCACCCACCAAGCUGAACCCUCCCCACCACGACCUCUGCCCUUCCGAGGAGAUCAAUCCCCAAGCGGUCCCUAACUUCACCAACGCGAAGCCCUCAGUCCAUUCUACGCGAAGUCGUCGUCAGUCCUUCGAGACAAAGCCGCCCUCAGUCCAACGACGCGAGCUCGCCCACAGUCCACCGACGCAAGGAGGGGGGAGUCCACCUACGCGAAGACGAAAUCAGACCACCAACGCGAAUCCUUCAAAUCUCCUGGAAGGUAAACAGAUUUCUAGGGUUUCGGCAUACAUGUUUUUGUUGUCUAUUUACUUCAUUAUUUUUCUCUGUAUUUGCUAGAAAGUAAUGGUGAGGGGCUGUGGAUGUUGCCGAUGUUGCCUCUCAUGGCAUACAUUUAUCUUUUUUCUCUCUGUGACAACGAAAUAUACUUCAUUUAUCUAGAAAAUUACAGAUAACAGAGGUUGUUGUGCAAGUUUUUUUUCAGGAACAUCCAAUUCCAAACAGAAUAAACAGAGGGAAUUUAUUACUCGCCAUCCAGGUUAUGAUAUCAAGCUCCUCCAUCGCAUACGAUUUUACUUAUCAGAAAAAAGAAAAAAAGCUCCUUCAUCACAUACUGAAAAUCUUAGGGAGAAGCAAGGUGUGAAUUUUUUGUAUGGGCCGAUAUACUUCAUUUGCUAGAGGAAAACUUUCAUGCCCGUGAGAAUAAGGCGAGAACUAUUACGUGGAAUGAUGUAUUACAACACGAGUAUGCCGUUCGGAAAAGGGAAGAUAAAGUGAGAGAAUCAGCAAAGAAUCUGAAAAAGCAAAAGCGAAGACUUUUGCUUUUGUACUGGAUUCUGACAUUUGUAAUUGUGUUUAUUUGGUUCGGAUAAAUUCUAUGUGAUGUACGGUGUAUGGAUUAGAUGGGUUUUGCAUGGUUUUUUUGAAGUGCACAUGGUUUGGACCAAGACCAUGGAUGUAAAUUGUAUGGUGUUAACCUCACCGUGUAAAGAAGAACUUUUGUGCAAUUAAAUUGACUUUGUAGAGUUUAGCAAAGUGUUAUUUACUGUUUUAUUGCAGCAAACACACGGAUGUUAAUAA
Carya illinoinensis is the source of this 3602-nucleotide long non-coding RNA. RefSeq lists it as uncharacterized. NCBI's taxonomy places the organism in Eukaryota, Viridiplantae, Streptophyta, Magnoliopsida, Fagales, Juglandaceae. The record is from RefSeq and is a predicted model, not a curated record. The transcript has 2 exons.